Molecule: non-coding RNA, 27 nt
Filed under: Bombyx mori (domestic silkworm)
Lineage: Eukaryota; Metazoa; Arthropoda; Insecta; Lepidoptera; Bombycidae
Source: RNAcentral
UUUAAUGUUGUCUACAGUGUCUCUCCA